UUUUCUCAGGACGGUAAAGUCCGUGAAGCGUCGCUGUUACUCCGAGGAGAGAUUAGUCGGUAGAGGGGUGCAAAAAUGCAGAGUAAUAAAACUUUUAACUUGGAGAAGCAAAACCAUACUCCAAGAAAGCAUCAUCAACAUCACCACCAGCAGCAGCAACAGCAGCGGCCGCCGCCACCGCCAAUACCUGCAGAUGGGCAACAGGCCAGCAGCCAAAAUGAAGGCUUGAGUAUUGACCUGAAGAAUUUUAGGAAACCAGGAGAGAAGACCUUCACCCAACGAAGCUGUCUCUUUGUGGGAAAUCUUCCUCCCGACAUCACCGAGGAAGAAAUGAGGAAACUAUCUGAGAAAUAUGGAAAAGCAGGCGAAGUCUUCAUUCAUAAGGAUAAAGGAUUUGGCUUUAUCCGCUUGGAAACAUGAACCCUAGCGGAGAUUGCCAACGUGGAGCUGGACAACAUGCCACUCCGUGAGAGCAGCUGCGUGUGCGCGUUGCCUACCGUAAUGCACCCCUUCCAGUUCCAAAGCUUCCUCAGUGUGUGUCCAACGAACUGCUGGAAGAAGCCUUUUCUGUGUUUGGCCGGUGGAGAGGGCUGUAGUGAUUGUGGAUGAUGGAGGAAGGCCCUCGGGAAAAGGCAUCGCUGAGUUCUCAGGGAACCCAGCUGCUCGGAAAGCUCUGGACAGAUGCAGUGGAGGCUCCUUCCUGCUAACCACAUUUCCUCGUCCUGUGACUGUGGAGCCCUGGGACCAGUUAGAUGAUGAAAAGGGACUUCCAGAGAAGCUGGUUAUAAACAACCAGCAAUUUCACAAGGAACGAGAGCAGCCGCCCAGAUUUGCACAGCCUGGCUCCUUCUAGUAUGAGUGUGCCAUGGGCUGGAAGGCACUCGCUGAGAUGGAGAAGCGGCAGCAGGACCAGGUGGAACUCAGUGGGACGGAGAAGCGGCAGCAGGACCAGGUAGAACUCAGUGGGACGGAGAAGCAGCAGCAGGACCAGGUGGAACUCGCUGAAAUGGAGAAGCGGCAGCAGGACCAGGUGGAACUCGCUGAGGUGGAGAAGCGGCAGCAGGACCAGGUGGAACUCACUGGGAUGGAGAAGUGGCAGCAGGACCAG
Cebus imitator (Panamanian white-faced capuchin) is the source of this 1108-nucleotide RNA transcript. It is a transcript of the gene named non-POU domain-containing octamer-binding protein-like, with no coding region annotated. The transcript is spliced from 2 exons. The record is from RefSeq and is a predicted model, not a curated record. Lineage: Eukaryota; Metazoa; Chordata; Mammalia; Primates; Cebidae.